RNAcentral lists this long non-coding RNA (481 nucleotides) under Homo sapiens (human). RNAcentral's name for it is "VWC2L intronic transcript 1 (VWC2L-IT1)". Lineage: Eukaryota; Metazoa; Chordata; Mammalia; Primates; Hominidae. The record is from RNAcentral.
GUCAGUCCUAAUAACUAAUUCAUGGGAUCCAGAUGAAAAAUCCCCAUCUGGAAUUUUUAACCACCUUGAGGGUCAGAGAUUUUUUUGAGAAUCAGAGGAAAGCAAUGAACCUCAGGCCUGGCAGGUGAGGGGACCAGGAGAAGACAGGAAGUACAUGUGUGCAAACAGACAAAAGUUUGCACACAAGUAGUUCAUUCCCAAGCUUCAGAACCCUAGCGCUGCUUGAUUCCCUUCAGUUGCAGAUAUUGGUGGCUGGAAUCAAGGGCCAGGCCCCAGAAAAGUUUCACAGAAGGGACAUACAUAGGGCCAAAUUGGACCCUCCGAUUCACACCGGGUAUCUCUGAGAUGUGUGUCAAGAUUCCUAGCGUGAUUUACCAAAGGCUUGAUGAUCUCACUUCAUCUUUAUUCUGCAAACUCAUGCCCUAGCAUUCUUCCCAAUAGCAACUAUCACUAUCCCUAAAUAAAUGUUUAAUACUUGAAA